Molecule: ribosomal RNA, 912 nt
Filed under: uncultured archaeon
Lineage: Archaea
Description: bacterial SSU rRNA
Rfam family: Archaeal small subunit ribosomal RNA
Source: RNAcentral
UUCCGGUUGAUCCUGCCGGACCCGACUGCUAUCAGAGUGGGAUUAAGCCAUGCGAGUUAACGUAGCAAUACGUGGCAUACGGCUCAGUAACACGUAGUCAACAUGCCCAGGGGACGUGGAUAACCUCGGGAAACUGAGGAUAAACCGCGAUAGGCCAAGAUUUCUGGAAUGAAUCAUGGUUUAAAUCUAUAUGGCCCCUGGAUUGGACCGCGGCCGAUCAGGCUGUUGGUGAGGUAAUGGCCCACCAAACCUGUAACCGGUACGGGCUCUGAGAGGAGGAGCCCGGAGAUGGGCACUUAGACAAGGGCCCAGGCCCUAUGGGGCGCAGCAGGCGCGAAACCUCUGCAAUAAGCGAAAGCUUGACAGGGUUACUCUGAGUGACUUCCGCUAAGGAAGUCUUUUGGCACCUCUAAAAAUGGUGCAGAAUAAGGGGUGGGCAAGUCUGGUGUCAGCCGCCGCGGUAAUACCAGCACCCCGAGUGGUCGGGACGAUUAUUGGGCCUAAAGCAUCCGUAGCCGGUCCUGCAAGUCCUCCGUUAAAUCCACCCGCUCAACGGUUGGGCCGCGGGGGAUACUACAGGGCUAGGAGGCGGGAGAGGCAAGCGGUACUCGAUGGGUAGGGGUAAAAUCCACUGAUCCAUUGAAGACCACCAGUGGCGAAGGCGGCUUGCCAGAACGCGCUCGACGGUGAGGGAUGAAAGCUGGGGGAGCAAACCGGAUUAGAUACCCGGGUAGUCCCAGCUGUAAACGAUGCAGACUCGGUGAUGGGCCGGCUUUAUGCCGGCUCAGUGCCGCAGGGAAGCCGUUAAGUCUGCCGCCUGGGGAGUACGGUCGCAAGACUGAAACUUAAAGGAAUUGGCGGGGGAGCACCACGAGGGGUGAAGCCUGCGGUUCAAUUGGAUUCAACGCCGGG